RNAcentral lists this ribosomal RNA (425 nucleotides) under Schizaphis graminum (greenbug). RNAcentral describes it as "SSU rRNA". It matches the Rfam family "Eukaryotic small subunit ribosomal RNA", at positions 869 to 1292 of the family's 1831-position model. The record is from RNAcentral. Lineage: Eukaryota; Metazoa; Arthropoda; Insecta; Hemiptera; Aphididae.
UCAACAGAGACGGGCGGGGGCAUUCGUACCGAGACGUUAGAGGUGAAAUUCUUGGAUCGUCUCGAGACGAACUGACGCGAAAGCAUUUGCCAAGUACGUUCUCGUAUGAUCAAGAACGAAAGUUAGAGGUUCGAAGGCGAUCAGAUACCGCCCUAGUUCUAACUGUAAACGAUGCCAGCUAGCGAUCCGCCGGCGUUUCAUUAACGACCCGGCGGGCAGCUUCCGGGAAACCGAAGCUUUUCGGUUCCGGGGGAAGUAUGAUUGCAAAGUUGAAACUUAAAGGAAUUGACGGAAGGGCACCACCAGGAGUGGAGCCUGCGGCUUAAUUUGACUCAACACGGGAAACCUCACCAGGCCCGGACACCGGAAAGAUUGACAGAUUGAGAGCUCUUUCUUGAUUCGGUGGGUGGUGGUGCAUGGCCGUU